Long non-coding RNA from Lolium rigidum, 1506 nucleotides. RefSeq lists it as uncharacterized. The transcript has 3 exons. The record is from RefSeq and is a predicted model, not a curated record. NCBI's taxonomy places the organism in Eukaryota, Viridiplantae, Streptophyta, Magnoliopsida, Poales, Poaceae.
UUCUCUUUAUGUUGUGUGCAUUUCAACUGUGGUAAUUUGGAGUGUGCUUGUUUAUUUAGCUCCAUAUGCUUGGCAAGUUAUGAAAGAACUAAAUAUAUUCUUCAAAAUCAAGAUCUGGGCAUGCUUCUUUUGCUUGUAUCAGCACACAUUUGUUCUAAUUAUAUUUUGUUGUGCUUUCUACUGCUUUUAGUUGGAAGAUGCAGUUUAAUUUCAUAGAAAGUAAGCACAGUUAAGCAUGUUAACCUCUUCUUUUUCUUAGAUGCAUCUUACAUCACUACAAAAAUGUGAUAUGGUGUCCGUGUUGCUUUGUUCUUUCAUUCUCUGUCAAUUUUGGUAUAUUGCAAAGCUACUAAUUCUUUGGCGUAGCUCCUGAGAUGAGACUUUUGUUCUUUAGUUUCUUAAUAUGUUUGGGAGCACCCAGCUCUGAUGCCUCAUUUAUCUUUCACGUCAUCCUAUGUUAUGGUGGUUAAAUCUGUAGCUGAUCAGUUUGACAGUCAAUGUAAAAUGCUACAUUGCAGGGGUGGAGCCAACCUGAUGAUAGAGCCUAAGUAAAAAUAAAUAAAGUCUGACUUACGUUUGCCCAUGGAAAUAGAGGAUUAGUUCGUUUCCCUUCAAGAAUCAAUAGUUGCAAUACCUUGAAGAAUAAUGAAGAAAUUAUGAUGUGUACGGAUUAGUGAAAGGCAAUGGAACCUGUGAUGGCUUGCUGAGAGCAGGAGAAAAACAUUUAUAGAGCCCCUUACAGGUGGCUGUAUGAUUAUACUUUUGCUUGGAUACUAUAUGAAGAAACUUAAAAAUGCGUUGAGAAAAUCCUCUUGACCCACUAAAUAUCCAAGGGUUCCUUAUUUAAAGUCCAUGGCUACUGAUCUGGUGAAACUGAUAUUGGUAGCAAGUUGAACUGUACCUCAUGGAUGACAAGAUAUAGUUAUGUCGCUUCAGGUUGUAGGAUAAGGUCAUUUGCCCAUUUCACUUCCAAACUAAAAACGUUGAAUACAAUUUAAUUGGUUCAUUCCUGAGUAUGUGCUUUCUUCCCAUCUAUUAUUAGAUUGUACGCCUUUUAAUUUGAAUCCUCUUUGAUGUGUGCAUACAUGAAAUAUUUUCAAUCGCUUCGUACUUCAGAAAGCAGAUCCCCUCUUGAUGUAUUGCCGUGGGACUAAUCAAGGACCUGAUCGAGGGUGGCAUUAAGGUGUGUGAGCAAUUAAUUAUAAGGUGUUAGCUUGGAAUGGCAAAUGUAGUUUUCGAUUCCUAAAUGUACAUUUCGAUUCCUAAAUGUAGAUUUCCAACAUUCAUGAAUGUUGAUUUCCGUUCAUUUCCGUUGUCUUCAAGAGCCUUGAAUUCCAGCAAGUUCAUUUCCAACAACAAAUGUUGAUUUCAAUAUCUAAAUAUGAUAAGAAACUGAAUAUAUACUACAUUUCCGUUCUGUAUUAUGUGACUAUUUGCGCCAGUGUUGUACAUAUUAGCAGCUACAAUCAAGACAUAAUUGAACACAUGUUAUCUGAUUCUUUAUGA